AACGCACAUUGCGCCCUUUGGCAUUCCGAAGGGCAUGCCUGUUCGAGCGUCAUUGCACCUCUCAAGCGCAGCUUGGUGUUGGGUUGUUGUCCCUCGCGCAUCGCGGCGGGACUCGCCUGAAAAGCAUCGGCGUCCGGCGGUUGGUCUUGCGCGUAGCAGAUUGUUCGCACAAGGACCAGACCGCGGGGCUGCCGCAUACGUCUUUGAUUCUCAGUUUGACCUCGGAUCAGGUAGGGAUACCCGCUGAACUUAA
Molecule: unclassified non-coding RNA, 253 nt
Filed under: Lachnellula sp.
Lineage: Eukaryota; Fungi; Ascomycota; Leotiomycetes; Helotiales; Lachnaceae
Description: partial contains 5.8S ribosomal RNA, internal transcribed spacer 2, and large subunit ribosomal RNA
Source: RNAcentral